UGGUUUGGGCCUAAUUGGAGGCUCUGCUGGGCUAUGACCCACAGUUUGGAAUUGGAAUGUGCUUUGUCACUGUAAGCUGACAAGAUUUGGGCCCUUGGUUGAACCUGGCUGCUGAGUCCUGCUCUGCUCUGCUACUGUGGGACAGGCUCCGUGUUUCUCACUACUGUGGAGUGAUAAGGAGAAGGCUUUUCUUGUGGAUACUUUCCAUUUGACACUUGUAAAUAUCUGAGAUUUGAGGCAGGAAAGUAACUACCAUCGGUAAUUGAUUACCUCUGUUAAUCUGCAUGGUGAUCAGGGUCCCUUUAUGCUGAGAUGUCUUUCCACCUCUCAAAGCACCAUGGGCCCUGAAAACACCAGCUUGCUGGCAGGGAGCUGACAGCCUCUGCAAGGGAAGGACUUGGUCUGGAGAUCUGGGAUGCCAUGGGAGUCUUGCUACUGAUCUGGAUGUAGACCAAAGCUGGGAGAAGAAUAGAGUGUCAACAGAGAGACACAAAGCAGUGAAUCUUGUGAAGAUCAAGUGGCAAAAGGCUCUCUUCUAGGAGCAGCUGGGAGCUUUGGGGCAGAAUAAGAGAAUGAGCCGAAGCGUCUCAGUGGGCCACAGCCGUGUGAUGGGAAGGAAAAAUACAGAAGCCAGAGCGCAAGUGAAAUAAUGUCACCCCAAGCCCUCCUUGAAAGUGCAGUGGACUGUAAGGCUUAUCUCAGCUUUGUUGGCAGGGCACUAGCAUCUCGCUUUGAUGUGUCAACGAACUGGAGAGAAGAAAGGACUUUUUGGAAUUCAUUAAUUCAUUCUCCAGAGCACUUAACCAGAGUUUAACUUCUUUCAGAGCCGCUGCUUUGCUCAUAUCCUGCCUUGUCUGUACAGAGAUAGAUGAGGUCAUUGGCACAGAUGGACUUGGACUGCUAAGCUGCUUUUCUCUGGUGUCCUGCCAUGGCAUGGAUGCCUCUUGUAUCACAUAAUAAUUGAGUUUGGAAGAGAUAUCUGGAGGCAAUCUGGUCCAGCCUCACGCUCAGCCAGGGUCUCCUGGGUGGUUGCCCACAACCCAAUCAUAGCUGUCUGGAAAGUGCACAAUGAAUGGUUGGGCUCCGUGGGUAUCAAAUGCUGUGGCAGGAGCACCAGGCACCAAGUCAAAAGACAGAAUGUGGGAUAACUCCUGCCUUCCCUUUCCCAUGAAGAUGGAAAAGCUCCUCCAUGGUGGGAACUGGAGCGAUGGAUGAACAAGGAGGCCUUCCCUCCCCUUCAGAAUGUGGGUUGCCGCCGGAGCUAUUUGGAGAUUGUCGCUGCUUGUUUUGGCCCCGACUUGAGUGCUUUGGCCACCACCUUGCUCAGGUGGCUAUUUUUGGUCUUGCCAGGAAUGGACUUCCUGAAGGGUGAAAUGAUGGAGGAGAGAAAAUAAACUUCAUGUUUUCUGAGCUGUAAAUAAAUAGGAGUUGUUCUUGGCCUUUCCCAAGGUCAGUGG
This 1457-nucleotide long non-coding RNA is filed under the name Gallus gallus (chicken). RNAcentral's name for it is "lncRNA (ENSGALG00000048079.2)". Lineage: Eukaryota; Metazoa; Chordata; Aves; Galliformes; Phasianidae. The record is from RNAcentral.